AUGUGACCUUCAGCUUAUUUUCAAAAAUGCCUAUGCCAUGGAAGAGAAAACCUGGGGUGACAAGAGGAAAGGAUCAGAGCAAAGCAGAGCUGCUGGAAACACAUAUACAGUUGGAAGUUGUGGGUCCUCCAAGAACACACGAUGCAGGAUCUAUAUUUCAGAAGGAAUGAAGGGAAGAUGAAGGUUUCAGGGUUCCUGGCAUCCUAUGUUGCAGCUGUCAGUUGAGGUUCAGGCUGGAUAUCAGGAAAAGAAGCACCAUCAGCUGCAUAGUGAGAAAGAAAAAGGGGGAUGAUAAUUACCCUCUUGCACAGCCCAUCAAGAUCAGAGAGAUGAUCUGCCGAAGACCUUGAUAGCUUCAUCAUAUGUUUUUCUCUCUUUUUAUUGUCAUAAUGAAGGAUUCAAAUGGUAACAUCAACUCUGAGCACAGAUAGGCACUAGCAUUAUCUGAUUCAGCAUUUAUCUAUGAUACUUUGGUUUUACACUAAUAGUUGACAGGCUGAAGCUCAGUGAAGCCAUAAUCCUAAAAGUAAAAACAAUGAAAUAAUCAGCUGAUAGAAAUAGCAAUAGGACCUAUUUUAAGAGGAUGCAUAUGUGUAUAUAAAUAAAGAAAUAUUAAAUCAAAAUUUGCCUGUCAUAAAGUCAUUGUAUCAAAAUAACAGGAAUGAUUUAGAUUUCUGAGGACAGUACUUCUUUCAAUCCACAGUUUAAAUAAAGGCACGCAGAAUUACUGAAGCUUUAGCUGCCCUUUGUUCUCAAGGAAAAAAAAAAAAAAAAAAAAAAAAAAAGACCAUAUGAAAAAAACAAUGAGAUAAAAUGGUGUCCGAAAGAAGAAUUAUUUAGCUGAUGGUGUAUCUUAAUACAUUGAGUCAGUCACUCUAACGACUGGACAGCAAUCCUGAGACAUCUGCGAUGAGUUCACCUAACACUGAAUUUUGAGGCCCUGUGAUUAUAAAGUAGCUAUAUGAUCGUGUCCAUUCUCUGUUAGCUUUUGUUUGUAUGUUUCACUUGCUAAAAAAGUAUUUUUAGCUUACAAAACAGGCAUAAUAAGUGAAACUCAGAACUGUGACCCAGAAAGAUCAUAUUAAAUGGGAUUUUUCUCUGUCA
RNAcentral lists this long non-coding RNA (1104 nucleotides) under Gallus gallus (chicken). Its description in RNAcentral is "lncRNA (ENSGALG00010003385.1)". Lineage: Eukaryota; Metazoa; Chordata; Aves; Galliformes; Phasianidae. The record is from RNAcentral.